This 514-nucleotide long non-coding RNA is filed under the name Parus major (Great Tit). Its description in RNAcentral is "lncRNA (ENSPMJG00000011237.1)". Lineage: Eukaryota; Metazoa; Chordata; Aves; Passeriformes; Paridae. The record is from RNAcentral.
UACUGGAUUGUCUUUCUUUCAAUUUUUGCAGCAACUCCUGAUCUCCAGUUGCCUCCCUGACCUUCCUUUUGGACUCUGAGCUGCAGAGCCAUGCCUGGUGAGAGACAGAGCGUGUGUGACAGGACACACACACUCUUUUUGGGCAUCACCAGAACAAGCUCUCAAACUUGAUCUUGUGGGGAAAAUCUUUGCAGAAGGGAGAAGACUUCCCUGUGAAUUCAGGGAGAGGAUUGCUUUUGGGAUGACCGAAAGUUCAGAUUCAAUGCCACGUACAAGAUACAGUGAGGUUCACAAAAAAAGAAUGUAUUAUUUGAGGAGAAAACACUUCACUGAACCUGAUGUUUCCCUGUCAGAGGUGGAGCUUUCCAAGAAGUUGCUGUUUUUUCCGUAGACGAAAUCCCAGAAAUUUAAGGCUGUGCAAGUCAUUUUCAUAGAGCCUCAUUAUUUGCUCUGUCCCUUGAAACCCUGUCUCCUCAAUUCAUGUGAAUAUGUACAGAAGGGCAAUCUCAUUCAG